Molecule: long non-coding RNA, 1740 nt
Organism: Rosa rugosa (rugosa rose)
Lineage: Eukaryota; Viridiplantae; Streptophyta; Magnoliopsida; Rosales; Rosaceae
Exons: 3
Source: RefSeq, a predicted model, not a curated record
CUCUCUUCCCAUUUUUCUUUGUUUCUUUAGAUAUCGACUACAAGUUCUUUUUGGUCAAAACAUUUUUUCGACUACACUCAAGUAUCUACCAUUUGCAUUCCAAGAUCUCUCGCGCCUUUUCUCCAACAGGUCAUCUGCACCAUUUCGCCGGAAAAAUCCACCAGCACCAUUCUCCGUUUAGAAACAUCAACUGUUUUGAGCCCUCUAAACCGUUGCAGAGUGAGUGAUUGAGUGAGAUGGAUGAUGAUGCCAAGCAGCAGAGGAGGUAGAGGUACGCCUUUUCUUCACAUUACUCUUGAUUUUUCCCUCGGCAGAUACUUGGCCUCUAAACCAAUCAAAUCUACGAGUACUACCCAUGUACCCAAAAUUGCUGGUCUUGAAGAUGCCCAGAAAUGUUCGAUGAAAUGCUUCACAGGCGUCCUCUGCCUUCGAUCAUCCCUUUCACUCAAAUCUUGUGUGAAGUAGUGAAAUUGAACCUCUUCUCUGAAAUGGACACAAUGAUUGCUGCAGUGCACAUGAGGAUGGUUUGAUACUUUGAUGACUUGACAGAAGUAGGAAGUAUCUUAAGAGAUGUCCUGGAGAUUCCAGAUGUCCCUCUAAAGGUGCGAAGACUCAUCGUCAAGGUUUCCGAUGCUGUGACCUGCAGGGCCGCUAGAUUGGCAGCUUCCGGAAUCGCAUGGAUUUUAAAGAAGAUCGGGCGUGAUGGGAUCGCAGACUGAUGUAGAAAUUAUCUUGAAAUGAGAAGAACUUUUUUUUUUUUUUUUUUUUUUUUUUUGAAGUAGACCUGGUGCGGCUGCCCUCAAGCCUUGAUUAAUGAAAUUGCAGAAUACAAGAGGGGGACAUAGAGCCUGAACCCCAAAUUACAAUAAGCAUAGAGAGAACAUCCUAGAAUAAAACCCGGAUUCUCCACAAAAUCUAUGUAUUCUAACAAGCACCAAUUAGCAAAGAGUGCACGAAUGACUACUCUAUUUGCUUUGACAUAGCGGUGACAUACCGGAAAGAGAACUCUAUUACGAAGAAGCAUAAUUACCUGCUUUAGCACAGCUUUCCCACUAUGUUGCCGCACGGAAAUAAAUCCGGCGACACUCAAUUUCAUCCUGCCACUAGGAGGUUGCGCCCAUUUGAUCAAGCAAAUAGCUCGCCGCCUCGCUAGGCCAGACAAGGCACACUGAGUGUGCAUACCGGGACAAAGCCCACGUCGCCCUAACCAAAAGUGGUAGGGACUUAUUGCCGGCAUAGAGCCACGUUUAACUAAAAAUAAGUAAAAAUAAGACAAAACAGAAAAGAUAAAUGGGCCAAGGGACAAAGCCCAGACCCAACCUCCAACAGGCCCAAGUCGAAGCAAUUGGGUGCAGAAAUCAGAAACCUUGCAUCCCACCUGCGCCUCCGAUGUCGUCCCACCACCGGCGGCAGAGCCACCGCGACUGUCGUCGAGCCAUCUAGCCUCGCCGCCCCUCAGGUCGGAGCCAUACAGCCCAAACCAAAUCGGGUCUAACAGAUCCGAUCUGAACCCAGUGGUUCUCGACGAUGCCAACGUCCGGCCAUCACCGGUAGGCGAUCUCCGAAAACGUGACACCACCUCGAAACAUUAUCUGUAACUUAUAUAUAAGCAGCAAUUAAGCAAGUCUGAAGGAAAGUCAUUUAUGUCUAGCUCACAUUAUCUGUAACUUCAUAUGUAUACACAUAGCGAGGGCCUCUAAAGGCUGAGAAAGCAUAGUGGCAACGAAAUUCAAAUGACAA